UCUGCAAUUCUGAAGACCGAAUUACCCUUUGCUUAGUUGAGUGAUUCGUGUUGGAUUUGGAUUAGAGUAGUAUGUACUUGUCGUUAAUAUGUGAUUGGAAGCAUAGUAAUUGAGUAAAUGACCAACCGUUUUUAUCCUGUAUUUGAUUCUGUCUUUGCAUUCCUGUUUACAUUUUGAUUCGCAUUUUUGUUUUCACAUUUCUACUUGCAUCCGUGUUUUAAUUUAAUUCAUCAGCAUUCACAAACUUUUCACAACCCCCCCCCACUUCGUGUUUGACCUGAUUCUCGAACCACAUUUGGUCAUUGAGAGACGACCUAGGAGUCACUUCCUAGUUUAUACUGCAUUCUUUUAUGCAAUCAAAUUUGUAUGGGCCGCGACACCCAUCAAACACCCUGUGUCCAAGUACCAAGAUGACUUAUCUUCGGCAUGGCUCAUCUCACUGGGAAGCAACACGUGGUCUGCUAAUUCUUCACAUUUGUCCACACAUGAUUCCCUCUUUCGCCUGACAAUAGUGCCCG
RNAcentral lists this long non-coding RNA (518 nucleotides) under Vigna radiata. RNAcentral describes it as "long non-coding RNA (VRAD_LNC011289)". Lineage: Eukaryota; Viridiplantae; Streptophyta; Magnoliopsida; Fabales; Fabaceae. The record is from RNAcentral.